This 499-nucleotide ribosomal RNA is filed under the name uncultured bacterium. Its description in RNAcentral is "bacterial SSU rRNA". It matches the Rfam family "Bacterial small subunit ribosomal RNA", at positions 28 to 514 of the family's 1533-position model. The record is from RNAcentral.
GAUGAACGCUAGCUACAGGCUUAACACAUGCAAGUCGAGGGGCAGCAUGAACUUAGCUUGCUAAGUUUGAUGGCGACCGGCGCACGGGUGAGUAACGCGUAUCCAACCUUCCGUACACUCAGGGAUAGCCUUUCGAAAGAAAGAUUAAUACCUGAUGGUAUGAUGAGAUCGCAUGGUAUCAUCAUUAAAGAUUUAUCGGUGUACGAUGGGGAUGCGUUCCAUUAGGUAGUAGGCGGGGUAACGGCCCACCUAGCCUACGAUGGAUAGGGGUUCUGAGAGGAAGGUCCCCCACAUUGGAACUGAGACACGGUCCAAACUCCUACGGGAGGCAGCAGUGAGGAAUAUUGGUCAAUGGACGAGAGUCUGAACCAGCCAAGUAGCGUGAAGGAUGAAGGUCCUACGGAUUGUAAACUUCUUUUAUAAGGGAAUAAAAACCUCCCACGUGUGGGAGCUUGUAUGUACCUUAUGAAUAAGCAUUGGCUAAACUCCGUGCCAGCAG